This 459-nucleotide ribosomal RNA is filed under the name uncultured bacterium. RNAcentral describes it as "partial 16S ribosomal RNA". It matches the Rfam family "Bacterial small subunit ribosomal RNA", at positions 338 to 795 of the family's 1533-position model. The record is from RNAcentral.
CCUACGGGUGGCAGCAGUGAGGAAUAUUGGUCAAUGGGCGGGAGCCUGAACCAGCCAAGUCGCGUGAGGGAUGACUGUCCUAUGGGUUGUAAACCUCUUUUGUCGGGGAACAAAGGGUCCCACGGGUGGGCGUAUGUAUGUACCCGAUGAAAAAGCAUCGGCUAACUCCGUGCCAGCAGCCGCGGUAAUACGGAGGAUGCGAGCGUUAUCCGGAUUUAUUGGGUUUAAAGGGUGCGUAGGCGGACAGUUAAGUCAGCGGUAAAAUUGAGGUGCUAAACCCCAUACAGCCGUUGAAACUGGCAGUCUUGAGUAGACGAGAGGUAUGCGGAAUGCGUGGUGUAGCGGUGAAAUGCAUAGAUAUCACGAAGAACUCCGAUUGCGAAGGCAGCAUAUCGGAGCGCGACUGACACUGAGGCUCGAAAGUGUGGGUAUCAAACAGGAUUAGAUACCCGAGUAGUC